Molecule: ribosomal RNA, 497 nt
Filed under: uncultured bacterium
Lineage: Bacteria
Description: partial 16S ribosomal RNA
Rfam family: Bacterial small subunit ribosomal RNA
Source: RNAcentral
GAUGAACGCUGGCGGCGUGCCUAAUACAUGCAAGUCGAGCGAAAAGAUGAGGAGCUUGCUCCUCUGGCGUUAGCGACGGACGGGUGAGUAACACGUGGAUAACCUUCCACUAAGACUGGGAUAACUUCGGGAAACCGGAGCAAAUACCGGAUAAUAUAUCGAACCGCAUGGUUCAGUAGUGUAUGACGGUUUUGCUGUCGAUUAUAGAUGGAUCCGCGUCGAAUUAGCUAGUUGGUAUGUUAACGGCUUAACAAGGGAGCGGUGCGUAGCCGAGCUGAGCGGGGGAUCGGCCCCACUGUAACUGAGACACGGCCCAGACUCCUACGGGAGGCAGCAGUAGGGAAUCUUGCGCAAUGGGCGAAAGCCUGACGGAGCAACGCCGCGUGGGUGAAGAAGGUCUUCGGGUCGUAAAACGCUGUUAUGGUGGAAGAACAAAUGUGUAAGUAACUAUGCACGUCUUGACGGUACCUAAUCAGAAAGCCACGGCUAACUACGUG